AUUCAGCCCAGGGCUGGAGCCUAAUCAGGCGGGCACCUUAGAGGCAGAGAAGCCAGCUCCACCGCCAUCAGAUGUCCAUGCAGCUGUGUUCAGACCUUGACUGAACGUAGAUGACUGAGACUGCAGAACAGGUGCAGAGCAUUUAACUGACCGGAAAGACCAGAACUGAGGACAUUUCUCUGGAGGCCAGAACCCGCAUCUCAAGAUUCGGAUGCCAUCCCAGUGGAACAAAUGUCAGAGCCAUCAGUGAAGACCUGAAGGCCAGAGACAGUCCCCUGGGCCAGGGCGGUAAAGUCUUUGGUCGAGCUGGGGCCUGGCCCCACCCCGUAAAUAUCUCCCUGCUCUGGAGAGGGCGUGCGGAGAGGCGGGCGUGGAAGGAGACCAGUCCGCAGCCGGAGCUGCAGCACCAGCCUCCUCCCUGAUAGUCCACCCACAGAGGAAAGUGAAGGCUGUUCCACCUUCCUUUUCCAUGGACAAGGGGCAGAGAUUUUAAUUAAAAUGAGUUCUGGAAAGUCACCCUCAUUUUCUGAGAGAGAGGAAACGUGGCC
RNAcentral lists this long non-coding RNA (548 nucleotides) under Bos indicus x Bos taurus (hybrid cattle). Its description in RNAcentral is "lncRNA (ENSBIXG00000000038.1)". Lineage: Eukaryota; Metazoa; Chordata; Mammalia; Artiodactyla; Bovidae. The record is from RNAcentral.